RNAcentral lists this ribosomal RNA (253 nucleotides) under uncultured bacterium. Its description in RNAcentral is "partial 16S ribosomal RNA". It matches the Rfam family "Bacterial small subunit ribosomal RNA", at positions 524 to 776 of the family's 1533-position model. The record is from RNAcentral.
UACGGGGGGGGCAAGCGUUGUUCGGAAUUACUGGGCGUAAAGCGAGCGUAGUCGGUUAUUUAAGUCGGGUGUGAAAGCCCCGGGCUCAACCUGGGAAUUGCAUUCGAUACUGGAUAGCUAGAGUUCGGCAGAGGGAAGCGGAAUUUCCGGUGUAGCGGUGAAAUGCGUAGAUAUCUGGAGGAACACCGGUGGCGAAGGCGGCAUCCUGGACCGGUAUUGACGCUGAGGCGCGAAAGCUAGGGGAGCAAACGGG